GAUGAACGCUAGCUACAGGCUUAACACAUGCAAGUCGAGGGGCAGCAUGGUCUUAGCUUGCUAAGGCCGAUGGCGACCGGCGCACGGGUGAGUAACACGUAUCCAACCUGCCGUCUACUCUUGGACAGCCUUCUGAAAGGAAGAUUAAUACAAGAUGGCAUCAUGAGUCCGCAUGUUCACAUGAUUAACGGUAUUCCGGUAGACGAUGGGGAUGCGUUCCAUUAGAUAGUAGGCGGGGUAACGGCCCACCUAGUCUUCGAUGGAUAGGGGUUCUGAGAGGAAGGUACCCCACAUUGGUACUGAGACACGGUCCAAACUCCUACGGGAGGCAGCAGUGAGGAAUAUUGGUCAAUGGGCGCAGGCCUGAACCAGCCAAGUAGCGUGAAGGAUGACUGCCCUAUGGGUUGUAAACUUCUUUUAUAAAGGAAUAAAGUCGGGUAUGUAUACCCGUUUGCAUGUACUUUAUGAAUAAGGAUCGGCUAACUCCGUG
RNAcentral lists this ribosomal RNA (490 nucleotides) under uncultured bacterium. RNAcentral describes it as "partial 16S ribosomal RNA". It matches the Rfam family "Bacterial small subunit ribosomal RNA", at positions 28 to 507 of the family's 1533-position model. The record is from RNAcentral.